CAAUAGCGUAUAUUAAAGUUGUUGCAGUUAAAAAGCUCGUAGUUGGAUUUCUGGUGGGAGCGAUCGGUCUGGCGCUUAGCGCGAGUACUUGCAUCGUCUCCGGCCAUCCUUGGGGAGAGUCUGUCUGGCAUUAGGUUGUCGGGCAGAGGAUCCUCAUCGUUUACUGUGAAAAAAUUGGAGUGUUCAAAGCAGGCUUAUGCCGUUGAAUAUAUUAGCAUGGAAUAAUAAGAUGGGACUUUGGUACUAUUUUGUUGGUUUGCGCACCAAAGUAAUGAUUAAUAGGGACAGUUGGGGGUAUUCGUAUUCCGUUGUCAGAGGUGAAAUUCUUGGAUUUACGGAAGACGAACUACUGCGAAAGCAUUUACCAAGGAUGUUUUCAUUAA
This 383-nucleotide ribosomal RNA is filed under the name uncultured eukaryote. Its description in RNAcentral is "partial 18S ribosomal RNA". It matches the Rfam family "Eukaryotic small subunit ribosomal RNA", at positions 592 to 976 of the family's 1831-position model. The record is from RNAcentral.